AACGCAUAUUGCGCUCGAGGCUUCGGCCGAGAGCAUGUCUGCCUCAGCGUCGGGUUAAUAUCAUCAACACUCAUCCCUUGGGAUAAUAGUGCUUUGAUGGACCUGGCUGUUCCAGAGAAAGGGGGUUUUGAUAAUCUAAUUAUCAUAACCAAUAGUCCUGCUGGAUCAGCUGAAGUACAGAGGCUAGCCAAGGACCCUUUAACAAGGGCCGCAACUGGGUAGGCAGCUUUCCGGCUUGCUAUAAUGCUUAGUUGUUGGUCUGGGACUUUGCGCUCACAGCCCUAAACCAGGAAAUAACCCACUCAUCUAUUAUCUCGACCUGAGCUCAGGCAAGAACACCCGCUGAACUUAA
RNAcentral lists this unclassified non-coding RNA (352 nucleotides) under uncultured soil eukaryote. RNAcentral's name for it is "sequence contains 5.8S rRNA gene, ITS2, 28S rRNA gene". The record is from RNAcentral.